UACGUAGGGCGCAAGCGUUAUCCGGAAUUAUUGGGCGUAAAGAGCUCGUAGGCGGUUUGUCGCGUCUGCCGUGAAAGUCCGGGGCUCAACCUCGGGCGUGCGAUGGAUACUGCCGGGCUAGAGGAUGGUAGAGGCGAGUGGAAUUCCCGGUGUAGCGGUGAAAUGCGCAGAUAUCGAGAGGAACACCUGCGGCGAAGGCGGGUUGCUGGGCUGAUACUGACGCUGAGGCGCGAAAGCCAGGGGAGCGAACGGG
This 253-nucleotide ribosomal RNA is filed under the name uncultured bacterium. RNAcentral describes it as "partial 16S ribosomal RNA". It matches the Rfam family "Bacterial small subunit ribosomal RNA", at positions 524 to 776 of the family's 1533-position model. The record is from RNAcentral.